CCUCCCCAUGAUAAAGCUACAAACUAGUAGCACUUUCUUUUGAGUCGAAGAGGAGUGGUGGAACUGGAACAAUUAAAAGUGUCAUGCAAAAUAUAUCUCUUGUAGAUACUGAAGAUAGCAUUACCUGGAAGUGGAACACUUCAAAAAGCUAUCCAAUUAAAAAUAGCUAUAGAUUCUUCAGCCAUGGUGGAGUGAUAUCCCAC
This 203-nucleotide long non-coding RNA is filed under the name Elaeis guineensis (African oil palm). Its description in RNAcentral is "long non-coding RNA (EGUI_LNC003850)". Lineage: Eukaryota; Viridiplantae; Streptophyta; Magnoliopsida; Arecales; Arecaceae. The record is from RNAcentral.